This is a non-coding RNA of Manis javanica (Malayan pangolin), 1523 nucleotides long. NCBI's taxonomy places the organism in Eukaryota, Metazoa, Chordata, Mammalia, Pholidota, Manidae. The record is from RefSeq and is a predicted model, not a curated record.
ACAAAAGUGAGUAAGUCAUGGUCACUGCUCUCAAGGAGAUGUUAUCACAUGAUUUAGGUAGAUUUAGAUUCUUAAUGGACAUUUGAUCCAGUAAUGACCAAGGUUUCCUAAUUAUCUUCCUUAUUGGCCUGCCUUGUCCUGUUCAUUUAUUUAACACAUUUAUUGAGCACCUGCUAUGUGCUAGACAUUGGGCUGGCCUCAGGAUGCAACAACAAAUAAACAUCAUCCUUAUCUUUAGAGACUGAAACUACAAUACGAAGGAGCUAGGCUCCAUGAUACACCUGGUUGACUACCAAAUAAAUAGGUAACACUUUGUAUUCCUGUUGCUCCUCCCACAGAGUGCAGUGUACUCCACUCUACUUCCCUCUUCCAGCCGUUAUGCAGUGAAGUUCCAGUUGAGACAAGUUAAGUUCUUACUUGUGACCAACUUCAGAGGUGCCUGAGAGUCAGAGGACAGGCCCAGUCUCCAUUACAGUGGCGAACAGCUGGUGACUCCAGACCCUGUGCCCAUCGCCAGUAUUCUCAUCAGGCCCCUUCUCAGUAAACAAACACCCUUCAUACUUGAAGGCAAAUUCUGGCACGCUAAGACCCCACCCCUUAAGAUCCAAUCACCACCGACCAGAUGGUCGCCCAUCCUUUAAGAUCCAAUCACCACUGACCAGAUGAUUGCCCACCCUUUAAGAUCCAAUCACCAACACAGAACACACCCUACCCCUACUCCUUAAAAACGCACUUUCCCACAAGCUGCUGCUCCCUCUCCUGGGGGGAGCUAUUUUCUCUUUCAGAUAAUAAAAUCUCUUGUGUGGGCCCAUGUCUCCUGAGUCAUCCUGGGUAAGGAAGGCAUGGUAAGAUACCCUUUCAUUGGUGCUGUGACUUGGAUGAGGCUCUCCCACUGACUUUGCUCUUCCUCCGGGAACCUGAGCUUCUUUGGGAACCCUCACUGCCUGAUCCUCCUCCAUGGGCUCACCGUCCAUUUCCCCAGUCGCUCGUCUUCUCGCCUAACACCAGCCCUCAGUUUGAUAAGGAAUCAAAGACUGAAAAUCUCAUCUAACUUGCUGGAGGGCCUGCGAGUAACCAACGUCAUACUUGGACUAAAGCCCCUGGCUUUCUCGUCCAGCUGUCUUUCUAAUGUUUCCAUAAAGGGAGUUGAGCAAAGCUUUCAAGGAUGACAUACAAAGACAGGAGGAGGCUGAUGUGGGGUGAGAGGUUGUAACAAGCAGAUUGACUUUCCUGAGUUUGUAUUGCAUGAGCAACACCCACUAAGGGUGGAGGGAAGCAGCAGAGCGUAGCCAAUGUGGGAUUAAAGAUUGUGUCACAUCAAUCCACAAAGUAAAUAAUCUACAGUUCCACACUGAGGGGGGGGUGACAGCGUGUCUUUUUCUCCUUUCACACAUAGCUCUUUGGGUCUUGUCGGGCCACCCCAAAUCUAGAUUAAUUUUUCAGAAGAUCCUAUAUAAACCUUUUCUUCAGAGUUCUGAGCUUGCUAAUGUGUGGAUUUGGCAGAGACGUGCAAAGUAAAGAGA